RNAcentral lists this transfer RNA (82 nucleotides) under Endocronartium harknessii PhW48OC. Its description in RNAcentral is "tRNA-Und (NNN) (tRNA-Und-NNN-11-1)". It matches the Rfam family "tRNA". Rfam says of the family: Transfer RNA (tRNA) molecules are approximately 80 nucleotides in length. Lineage: Eukaryota; Fungi; Basidiomycota; Pucciniomycetes; Pucciniales; Coleosporiaceae. The record is from RNAcentral.
GACUGGAUAGCCCAGCGGUUAAGGCAUCACAUACGAGUUGUGUCCUGGUUAAGGGUCCUUGGUUUAAAUCCAAGUCUAGUCA